Molecule: long non-coding RNA, 4724 nt
Filed under: Cicer arietinum (chickpea)
Lineage: Eukaryota; Viridiplantae; Streptophyta; Magnoliopsida; Fabales; Fabaceae
Description: long non-coding RNA (CARI_LNC000311)
Source: RNAcentral
GUUCAUAGUUGUUGUCACUUAGAGAAAAAAAUUGUUUGAACUUUGACAUUAAGUUGAUGGCCGCAUUCAGGAUUGUUGCGUAGAGAUAGGUGAGUCUUCAAAAGUUCUUAUUGAUCUCAUGCUAAGACUUCUUCAUUACUUUUGUCUUUGGCGACUUCUUCAUUUAUAGAUGGAAGCUAAUGUUGAUGUUGUCUAUGUGUUGCGAGCUUAUCAAAUAUCACAUUGAGAGCUUUCCAAGUGCGAAAUGGUUAUUCGUACCAAAUUGUCUUUUGUGCUUCAACUCGGGUAAGUUGACGUUGAAUGUUUGAACGAAUUUUCCUCUUUUACCUAUUAAGUGAUUUACUCUAAUGUUGAUAGAUAGUAAACUUCCAACAGUCUCGGUCUUGAGUUUUACUAGACUUAUUUUAUGCUACUCAUUUGUUAUCUGACGAUGAGUACUAAAAGGGCUAGCUUUUGUUAUUGGCUCAAUUUGUACUGCUCAUGUCGUUUAAACGAUAAGCACCAAAUGAUCUUCUUCUCUUUUCUUUUUCUUUUUUCAUCUUUUCUUUUCUUUUCUUAAUUUCCUAUUAGAGGAUAUACUACCUACAUAAUUCUCCAAACCUCAGAAGAUAAAUUAUUCUCUUAUAUUUGUUAUCAGUGAAAUCCCAAAGAUUAUAUUGUUUUUAAACUUAUCUAAUUUGUACAAUCUCUCUUUUUAUGAUGACAAAUAACUAUAAUUUUGAUUAUAUUUUUUUAUUUUUUUUAACACAAUAAAUAUUUUAGUGGAACCUGUUUCUAAGAGCUACCCCUUAAUUUAACACAACAAAUAUAAAAUAACAAACGAAGAAAAGAAAAUAGUAUCAAAAACAUGGAAUGGAAAAAUAUGACGUUAUGUUCAAUAAAAAUUCAAAGGCACCCACUAAAUUUAUUAAAUAUAAACUUUUAAAAUGUAAUUGUGAAGAUAAAUUAUUGAUACCAAAAUAAUAAUAAAUCACAAUUUAUAUUUGUGUCGAUACUCUAUUUGUAAGAAGAAAAAGAACUUGAGAUCGUCUUGAGCAUUUAAUUACUAUCACACUUAGUAUGAUUAAUUAAGAUCCUAUAAAUAAAAGAUAUUUGAGUUCAAAUUUUAUACAUAUUAUCUCCACUUUUUGAAGAUGCUAAAAUUGGUUUUAAAAUGAUUUUAUUUCUCUUUCUUCUAUAUCAAAUAGAUCAUACAUUAUAUAUUAUUGAAAUACAUUAAAAUUUAUAGUUUAUACAUUUUAAUUAAAUACAGUUAAUUUUCAUAAGUCUUAAUAACAUAUCUAAUAAUUAUAAAUUUAUAUUAAAUUCUAUGUACAUAUCUGAUUAUUACAAAUUUGUAAUAAAUCCGUCACUUUCAUUCCCCUAAAACCUAACCUACUCUAAAAUUAUGCUAUUUGUAUUAUAAAAUGUUCUAAAAAUAAAUUAAUUAAUAUACACAAAUCAAAACUUCAAUAUGAACAAAAUUUUAUUCUGAUUGAAAGUAAAAAAGUUUAUACCAUGAUACAUUAAAAAUGAGUCAACAAAAGAAAACGAAACAUUGAACGCAAUUAUAUGUUGAUGAGCACUGAAGUAGAAUAUUUACUGUUUUCAAAGAAAAAAAAAGAUUAAAGGAUUUGGCAAUUACAUUAAAUCGCACCAAAAGUUGUCUCUAAAAAGAUGGUCAACUCGUGACUUUGCUACAUUAACAAUGAGAUAAGAUAUGUCUAAAUUCGUGUCUUGGAAUGCCAAUAGACAAUAACCAAAACUUUGACUCUUUUCGUGCUUGAAAGAUUUUGCCUACUACAGAUCCAAAAUUUACGCAGUCAAAAGAUAUUACACUAAUAUAAUGUGUUUGCACCGCGUUUGAAUCAGUUUUCACCACAAAAUUAUUUAGUUUAAAGAUUAAAAUAUAUGUAAUUUCAUUUGAUUUACAUUAUUAUUUCAUUUAAAUUGAUCCAAUUCAAUUUAUUAUGGUAUAAAUUGAAUCGGUUUUCAGUUGAUCUAAAAUUAAAACUAAUUAAAUUAAUCUUAGGAAAUAGAUUAAAUUAAAACUAAUUAAUAUACUAAAGUAAUACAAAUUUUAGUAAAUAUAUUAAAUGAAAUAUAUGAAAUAGUAAAAAAUAAAUAAAAAGUAUUAUUUAAAAAAUAAAAAAUAAUAUAAAUAUUAUAUCUCAUACUAAUAAAAAGAAUAAGUAUUAAAAUUUAUACAUAUGUUUUGGUUCGAUUUUGGAAAUGAAUCUCAAAUUUAAUUCAAUUGGUUUUAACAAAAAGAGAUCAAACCCAUCAAAAAGUAUUUGAUUCGGUAGAGUUUUCAAUUUUUUUUAAUAGAUUUAUAGUUUGGUUUUGAAUUUAUUUGAUUGUGGACAUCUCUAAUUUCAUUUAUUGGAUUACGAUUAAAUGAGACUUGUUUCUAACUUGGUUAUGGUCCAUUCUACCUUGAAACAAAUAAGGCCUAGGAAGAAAUAUCAGGAGUGUCAAACACUCUUUAGUGCAACCUAACCUCAUGUGAUCUGAGUCAUUGAACAAAUCCAACGACCUUCUACAUUCCACAUUGGAUUUGGCGUAACCCCCAACAACAAUUUCUGCCAAAACCCUCUAUUGUCUUCCUAUAUGAAUGAAACGAGUAGGGGGUGUCAUGUAUGUUAUCACACAAUUACCUCUUACUCUUUCCAUUUCACUCACUACAUUGGAUGUUGGAGUGCAUUUAGGUACAUCCCAUUGCACCAAAAACAAAGCAAUUGUACUCCAUUAUGAUUGUCACCCUUUGACAACUACCACGAUCCGAUCUCUGGUCAUUUGACGUCGUCUGUGGGGAACAAAGAUCUAAGUCACACACGAGAACUGAUACACCCUAUAGUCCCUUAACCUUGACUAAGGGACUAUUAUUUCGGUACACCAAAAAAUCUUACAUUACUUAUAAAUUGAAAUUAAGGAUUUUUUAUGAUUAAAAGGAGGCAGAACAACAUAGAAACCUCUAGGGAUGAUAAUCCCUACAACAUCUCUCAAAAUGAGGGGAGAUAGAAAAUAAGGAACCACAUUGAAAAUUUUAAAGGGAAGUAACUAAUGAAGACCAUAUUUAGCUAGAACAUCUACAAAUUAAUUUGCUUCAUGAAAGACAUGAUGCCAACAAAUGACAUAACAAGGUGAUCUUAUAAUUUUAAUCACUUUCCAUUAUAAUUUGUUGAAACUCUCUCUAUAUCUAGCCUCAUAAGGCCAUGAGAGAUGCUCCAACGUUCGUCACAUAUAAUCUAAUAUAUCCUAAAAGUGCACGAGAAAGUAAACACAAACACACCAUUAUUAUCACGAAUGACACCACCACAAGAAGUGAGGCCUAAAGGUUGCAUUUCUGCACCAUCACAAUUAAUUUUAAUCCAACUCUCCAAAGGAUAGGGCAAAAUAAUGGAAGGAACAAUUAUCAAAUGGUUGUAAUGGGAGUGCAUAGAUAAACACAAAUCCACCAAAAUCUCGUAUGCCAUCAUUUUUACUCGCUCAACAGAAACAUUAUUCCUUAUUUACACACAAGAACCCAAAGUAGUCAUCUACACUUAUAUAUCCAUUGGAACAUCUUACUGAGAACAAAAAUUGUAAAUACAUAUAUAUUCAAGACUCUAAAACUGACAAUAAUUUAAAAAUAUGGUUUAAGAUCGAAACAAGAUUGAAUUGGCUUAAGAAUGCCAAGAGCCACCUAGAAUUCAAUCCACCUUUCUCUUAGUUGAUGUAUACCCAAAGUAUUAUGCAUGUGAUGUAUAUUAGUUUGUUACAUGAAAAUAAAAAUUAUUAAAUUUGAUUAAAUUUAUAAACAAUAGUAAGAACUUUAUUAUAUCAAAUGACUUUAAUUUGUAUACAAUGUCAGUGUAAAAAGUUUUUACAUUGUUAAUCAACCACAAGGAUUAGAUCAUUAAUAAUAUUUGACUUUUUGUAUAAUUAUUUAUAAAAUCACUUGUAUGAUUUAUUGACUGUAUAAAAAAAUUUACACAAUUAAUGUAUGAUAAUUAAAUUCAUUAUAUUCAUAUAAAAAUGUGAAGUAGUAGUUUUCAGACUUUGAACUCUCAUAAAAAAUUCGUCAUCAUCUUAUAAUUCGUCAAACUUUGAAUAUCUUCCUAUUGUCAUUUUAUUUCGUAUGCAUGCGGUCUAAGAUGGGAAGGUUGCAAACUUCAUUUGUAAUAUUGCACAUAAAUAUAUAAAUAUAUAUUUUUAGUUAAUUUAAUAUUUAAAUAUAUUUUUUAUUGAUUAAUUCAUUUAGUUCUCAAAUGUGUAUUUUAUCAAUUAAUUUAUAAAAUUACUAUUAAUAAGAAAUAGACUUACGUGUUUUAAAAAUAGAAUCAUGUUUUUUUUAAGGAAUAAUGGAGUGAUAUUACACAGUAAAUAUUUAUAUACUAAAACAAUUGUUUAAUAGAGUAACUAAACACAUGGCUACUAGUUAUCCCAAAUACUCUCUCCCUCUCACAAUAAGUAAUCUAUUUGUAGAAUAAAUUUAUCUAAAAUGAAUAAGUCUUUCAAUUUUUAAUAUAAUAUUAAUUAUAUUUUUUAUUGUAUUAUUUAAUAUUUCAAAGUCACGUAGAAUGGCGAGAAGACGAAUAUUGUUGUGGGUAGACCCACUAGAGAGUAUUUCAGUCUUACUGUGAACAACAUUCAAAAUAGGCUCAAUGGUUGGAAGAAACAUUGUCUUAGCUUAGUUGGGAGAAUGGAGAAGCGUCAUAAAGUGAUGGUUUUCUUCGUAACUUGGAGCGUGUGAUACUCUUCAG